UACGGAGGGUGCGAGCGUUAAUCGGAAUUACUGGGCGUAAAGCGCGCGUAGGCGGUUUGUUAAGUCAGAUGUGAAAUCCCCGGGCUCAACCUGGGAACUGCAUCUGAUACUGGCAGGCUAGAGUUUGAGAGAGGAAAGUGGAAUUCCGGGUGUAGCGGUGAAAUGCGUAGAUAUCCGGAGGAACACCAGUGGCGAAGGCGACUUUCUGGCUCAAAACUGACGCUGAGGUGCGAAAGCGUGGGUAGCAAACAGG
This 253-nucleotide ribosomal RNA is filed under the name uncultured bacterium. RNAcentral describes it as "partial 16S ribosomal RNA". It matches the Rfam family "Bacterial small subunit ribosomal RNA", at positions 524 to 776 of the family's 1533-position model. The record is from RNAcentral.